This 215-nucleotide long non-coding RNA is filed under the name Lathyrus oleraceus (garden pea). RNAcentral describes it as "Pisum sativum (pea) long non-coding RNA (PSAT_LNC007415)". The record is from RNAcentral. Lineage: Eukaryota; Viridiplantae; Streptophyta; Magnoliopsida; Fabales; Fabaceae.
AAGUGGCCAGAUUAAGUGCCUUGAUGGAAUCAUUCAUGGCUGCUCAGAGCCAGUCUUCUCCGACACCUUCAACUCCUCCCCAGAGGACAGUCAUCUCUGAGAUUGUCUCCUCGACUGAGGAAGUGGCCAGAUUAAGUGCCUUGAUGGAAUCAUUCAUGGCUGCUCAGAGCCAGUCUUCUCCGACACCUUCAACUCCUCCCCAGAGGACAGUCAUC